UACGGAGGGUGCGAGCGUUGUCCGGAAUCACUGGGCGUAAAGGGCGCGUAGGCGGCGCGGCUAGUCGGCGGUGAAAGCCCGGAGCUCAACUCCGGGUCGGCCGUCGAUACUUCCGGGCUUGAGCACUGUAGAGGCAGAUGGAAUUCCGGGUGUAGCGGUGGAAUGCGUAGAGAUCCGGAAGAACACCGGUGGCGAAGGCGGUCUGCUGGGCAGUUGCUGACGCUGAUGCGCGACAGCGUGGGGAGCAAACAGG
RNAcentral lists this ribosomal RNA (253 nucleotides) under uncultured bacterium. RNAcentral's name for it is "partial 16S ribosomal RNA". It matches the Rfam family "Bacterial small subunit ribosomal RNA", at positions 524 to 776 of the family's 1533-position model. The record is from RNAcentral.